AGUGGCGAACGGGUGCGUAACGCGUAUGCAACCUACCUUCAUCAGGGGGAUAGCCCGGAGAAAUUCGGAUUAACACCGCAUAAAAACACAGUACGGCAUCGUACAAUGUUCAAAUAUUAAUAGGAUGAAGAUGGGCAUGCGUGUCAUUAGCUAGUUGGUAAGGUAACGGCUUACCAAGGCGACGAUGACUAGGGGAUCUGAGAGGAUGACCCCCCACACUGGUACUGAGACACGGACCAGACUCCUACGGGAGGCAGCAGUAAGGAAUAUUGGUCAAUGGAGGCAACUCUGAACCAGCCAUGCCGCGUGCAGGAAGACUGCCCUAUGGGUUGUAAACUGCUUUUAUACGGGAAUAAACCUAUCUACGAGUAGAUAGCUGAAUGUACUGUAAGAAUAAGGAUCGGCUAACUCCGUGCCAGCAGCCGCGGUAAUACGGAGGAUCCAAGCGUUAUCCGGAUUUAUUGGGUUUAAAGGGAGCGUAGGCGGCCGUUUAAGUCAGAGGUGAAAACUUGCAGCUCAACUGUAAGCUUGCCUUUGAUACUGAAUGGCUUGAAUGAACUUGAGGUAGGCGGAAUGUGACAAGUAGCGGUGAAAUGCAUAGAUAUGUCACAGAACACCAAUUGCGAAGGCAGCUUACUAAGGUUUAAUUGACGCUGAGGCUCGAAAGCGUGGGGAUCAAACAGGAUUAGAUACCCUGGUAGUCCACGCCCUAAACGAUGAUAACUCGAUGUUGGCGAUAUACAGUCAGCGUCCAAGCGAAAGCGUUAAGUUAUCCACCUGGGGAGUACGCCCGCAAGGGUG
Molecule: ribosomal RNA, 801 nt
Filed under: Pedobacter glucosidilyticus
Lineage: Bacteria; Pseudomonadati; Bacteroidota; Sphingobacteriia; Sphingobacteriales; Sphingobacteriaceae
Description: bacterial SSU rRNA
Rfam family: Bacterial small subunit ribosomal RNA
Source: RNAcentral